Molecule: ribosomal RNA, 262 nt
Filed under: uncultured bacterium
Lineage: Bacteria
Description: partial 16S ribosomal RNA
Rfam family: Bacterial small subunit ribosomal RNA
Source: RNAcentral
GAACGAACGCUGGCGGCAGGCUUAACACAUGCAAGUCGAACGAGUGUAGCAAUACACUAGUGGCGCACGGGUGCGUAACGCGUGGGAACCUUCCUCGUAGUUCGGAAUAACUCAGGGAAACUUGGGCUAAAUACCGAAUGCCUUCCUUCGGGAGAAAGAUUUAUCGCUACGAGAUGGGCCCGACGUCAGAUUUAGGUAGUUGGUAGGGUAAUGGCCUACCAAGCCGACGAUCUGUAGCUGGUCNGAGAGGAUGAUCAGCCAC